GAAGGGGUGGGGGGCGUGAUCUUACACAGCCUCGUAGUCCCCUGGAAGGCCCUGGCUUUACUCUUGGCGAGAUGUGACACCCCUGAGGGUUGCGGGCUGAGGAGUGAUAUGAUGAGACUCGGUUUUAAAAGAACCACCCUGGCCACUGUGUUGAGAAGAACCUCAGGGCAAGGAUAGAGCCUGCAGAUGCACCUUCUACCCUUUCCUACUCAUGGAAGGCUGAACUCUAUGGACAUUUGGUUCCAAGUUUCUACUCCCUUGGGCUUCCCAGAUUACUCGAGUGGUGAAGAACCUGACUGCCAAUGCAGGAGACAUGAAAGACGAUUCAACUCUGCCCAGUGGCAAAAGUGACCAGUGGACUCAAAAUAGUAAAAUAAUGCUUAAAGUAGUGCUACCACAGGGCCUUGGGAACCAACCUCACAUGCUAAAGAUAGACGAAGAUUUGCAUUGAGGUAUAAACCCUGAUUGUAUUCAAUGCUUUUAACUUUGAACCCUUCAGGCUUUACCCUUUGCUGUAACCAACUAGACAACUGAAUGAUACCCAG
Molecule: long non-coding RNA, 545 nt
Organism: Bos taurus (domestic cattle)
Lineage: Eukaryota; Metazoa; Chordata; Mammalia; Artiodactyla; Bovidae
Source: Ensembl